AAGGCCUUAGCUUAAUUAAAGUGUCUGCUUUGCAUGCAGAAGAUGUGGGUUAGUAUCCCGCAGGUCUUA
Molecule: transfer RNA, 69 nt
Filed under: Fistularia petimba (red cornetfish)
Lineage: Eukaryota; Metazoa; Chordata; Actinopteri; Syngnathiformes; Fistulariidae
Description: tRNA-Ala
Rfam family: tRNA
About the family: Transfer RNA (tRNA) molecules are approximately 80 nucleotides in length. Their secondary structure includes four short double-helical elements and three loops (D, anti-codon, and T loops). Further hydrogen bonds mediate the characteristic L-shaped molecular structure. tRNAs have two regions of fundamental functional importance: the anti-codon, which is responsible for specific mRNA codon recognition, and the 3' end, to which the tRNAs corresponding amino acid is attached (by aminoacyl-tRNA synthetases). tRNAs cope with the degeneracy of the genetic code in two manners: having more than one tRNA (with a specific anti-codon) for a particular amino acid; and 'wobble' base-pairing, i.e. permitting non-standard base-pairing at the 3rd anti-codon position.
Source: RNAcentral